RNAcentral lists this ribosomal RNA (497 nucleotides) under uncultured bacterium. Its description in RNAcentral is "partial 16S ribosomal RNA". It matches the Rfam family "Bacterial small subunit ribosomal RNA", at positions 28 to 507 of the family's 1533-position model. The record is from RNAcentral.
GAUGAACGCUGGCGGCGUGCCUAAUACAUGCAAGUCGAGCGAACGGACGAGAAGCUUGCUUCUCUGAUGUUAGCGGCGGACGGGUAAGUAACACGUGUAUAACCUACCUAUAAGACUGGGAUAACUUCGGGAAACCGGAGCUAAUACCGGAUAAUAUUUUGAACCGCAUGGUUCAAAAGUGAAAUACGGUCUUGCUGUCACUUAUAGAUGGAUCCGCGCUGCAUUAGCUAGUUGGUAAGGUAACGGCUUACCAAGGCAACGAUGCAUAGCCGACCUGAGAGGGUGAUCGGCCACACUGGAACUGAGACACGGUCAAGACUACUACGGGAGGCAGCAGUAGGGAAUCUUCCGCAAUGGGCGAAAGCAUGACGGAGCAACGCGGAGUGAGUGAUGAAGGUCUUCGGAUCGUAAAACUCUGUUAUUAGGGAAGAACAUAUGUGUAAGUAACUGUGCACAUCUUGACGGUAACUAAUAAGAAAGCAACGGCUAACUACGUG